UUGUUAUUAUUAUUAUUAUUAUAAUAGAGUAAUAGAUGUUCAUAGAACCAACGAGGUAGUUUCUAGUAGGUUUCAUGAUAUUCUUUGUCAAAUAGAAUUACUCAUAACACACACAACACGUACCCUCAAAACACGCUCUACGUAAAGUACAUUAAUUAACAAUAAUAUUAAUAGCCAACAAGAGGAAGAAGAAGAACAUAAAGAGGGUUCAAAUUACGUAAUGGAAGAAGCACCUUCUUCUUGGCCUAAUAAUAAGAGGAAGGGAAUUGUGGAAUAUGAUCACUUGAUUAAUCAUGUGGAUGCAAACCAUGAAGAGGACAACAGCAAGAGGAUUACAAGCUCGUGUGAAGAAGAAGAACAAGAAGAGAAUACUAUUAUUCAUCAAAAUGAUGAUAUUAUAAUGGCUAAGAUACAAGAGAUUUUUGGGAAAGAUCAUGUUGAAGUUUUUCCAAUAAAGAAGAAGAAGAAGCAAAGGAGAUAUCGUUCUCUUGUGAAUAUAUACAUGUCUACAACACCUAUUCAUGUUGGAAAUUAACCAUACAUACAAUAAGAGUGAGAACUCCCACAAUGUGAGUUUUACUUACGGACAAUGUAACUAGCUAGUCUUAAUAAUUGUAAAAUGGGUGUCCCAGAUUUUUCAAAUAUGUUAAUGCUACUUCGUUUGAGUGUUAAAAAAAUGUUUAGUGCUACUUGUGUUUAUUGUUAUUUUCCGUUGUUACUUGUGUUAAUCUUAAUAUAAUUAAUGUGGAUUGAAUAUAUAAAGUAGAAAAAUGUUUGAGAUUUGAUUCAAAUUGAAGAAAUUGAGGAAAUUGAAAUUGUCUUAUAUUGAGUGGAAUUGUAAAAGAAUAAGGAGUUCAAACUUAUAAAAUAUGAUUAUAGUUCUUCGUUACAAAUUGCAUCGGUCGAAAAUAAUUUAAGUUUGUAUUUGAUUUUUUUUUUCUCUUUUAUUUCUGUAUUAAAGUGUUGUAAAAUAUAGUUGAAAUAUUUUUUUGAAGAGUGUGGUUGUAUUGCGAAGUCGUACGGGUACGAGAGAAG
RNAcentral lists this long non-coding RNA (1035 nucleotides) under Cicer arietinum (chickpea). Its description in RNAcentral is "long non-coding RNA (CARI_LNC001752)". The record is from RNAcentral. Lineage: Eukaryota; Viridiplantae; Streptophyta; Magnoliopsida; Fabales; Fabaceae.